This 511-nucleotide unclassified non-coding RNA is filed under the name Cladosporium cladosporioides. Its description in RNAcentral is "sequence contains ITS1, 5.8S rRNA gene, ITS2". The stretch from base 144 to 297 matches the Rfam family "5.8S ribosomal RNA". Lineage: Eukaryota; Fungi; Ascomycota; Dothideomycetes; Cladosporiales; Cladosporiaceae. The record is from RNAcentral.
GUCUACCACCGGGAUGUUCAUAACCCUUUGUUGUCCGACUCUGUUGCCUCCGGGGCGACCCUGCCUUCGGGCGGGGGCUCCGGGUGGACACUUCAAACUCUUGCGUAACUUUGCAGUCUGAGUAAACUUAAUUAAUAAAUUAAAACUUUUAACAACGGAUCUCUUGGUUCUGGCAUCGAUGAAGAACGCAGCGAAAUGCGAUAAGUAAUGUGAAUUGCAGAAUUCAGUGAAUCAUCGAAUCUUUGAACGCACAUUGCGCCCCCUGGUAUUCCGGGGGGCAUGCCUGUUCGAGCGUCAUUUCACCACUCAAGCCUCGCUUGGUAUUGGGCAUCGCGGUCCGCCGCGUGCCUCAAAUCGACCGGCUUGGGUCUUCUGUCCCCUAAGCGUUGUGGAAACUAUUCGCUAAAGGGUGUUCGGGAGGCUACGCCGUAAAACAACCCCAUUUCUAAGGUUGACCUCGGAUCAGGUAGGGAUACCCGCUGAACUUAAGCAUAUCAAUAAGCGGAGGAAA